GCGGAAGGAGGCCUGAGGGACUUCAUUCGGCAGGUUGAUGUUUUCGGGUUUCACCUGGCCCGACUCGACGUGCGCCAGGAGAGCUCCCGGGUAGCCCGGACCCUCGCCGAGCUGCUGCCCGGCGAGGACUACCAGGGCCUGGACGAAGCCGGGAAGGUAGAGGUUCUCCAGCGCCUCUUAAGAGAACCCGAAGAUGAGGCAUACCUGGAGGAGAUAUCCGACGAGGGCCGGGACCUGCUGAAGACCUUCGAUC
This 253-nucleotide unclassified non-coding RNA is filed under the name plant metagenome. RNAcentral describes it as "partial contains 5.8S ribosomal RNA, internal transcribed spacer 2, and large subunit ribosomal RNA". The record is from RNAcentral.